UACAGAGGUCCCAAGCGUUGUUCGGAUUCACUGGGCGUAAAGGGUGCGUAGGCGGUCAGGUAAGUCUGACGUGAAAUCUCCGGGCUCAACCCGGAAACUGCGUUGGAAACUACCUGGCUCGAGGAAUGGAGGGGAGACUGGAAUACUUGGUGUAGCAGUGAAAUGCGUAGAUAUCAAGUGGAACACCAGUGGCGAAGGCGAGUCUCUAGACAUUUCCUGACGCUGAGGCACGAAAGCCAGGGGAG
This 245-nucleotide ribosomal RNA is filed under the name uncultured bacterium. RNAcentral's name for it is "partial 16S ribosomal RNA". It matches the Rfam family "Bacterial small subunit ribosomal RNA", at positions 524 to 768 of the family's 1533-position model. The record is from RNAcentral.